UCAGUCGGCCGGACGGCCGCUCCGGCAGGGGCCGAAAGGCCGCCGGGGAGGAAAGUCCGGGCUCCCUUGACAUACGGUGCCGGAUAACGUCCGGCGGGGGCAACCCCAGGGAAAGUGCCACAGAGAACGAACCGCCCUGCUUCGCCUUCGGGCUUCGCAGGGUAAGGGUGAAAAGGUGCGGUAAGAGCGCACCGCGGCGUCGGCAACGAAGCCGGCAUGGUAAACCCCACCGGGAGCAAAACCGAAUAGGGACGGCGUAGCGGGCUGUUCGCGAAAGCGAUAACGCCGCGGGGCGAUGUCAGGCCCGCCGUCCGGGUAGGUUGCUCGAGGCCAUGUGCAAACAUGGUCCCAGAGGAAUGGCCGUCACGUAUCGUUCGCGCAAGCGGAUGGUGCCCUACAGAACCCGGCUUACAGGCCGGCUGAUAUC
Molecule: RNase P RNA, 427 nt
Filed under: Bradyrhizobium diazoefficiens
Lineage: Bacteria; Pseudomonadati; Pseudomonadota; Alphaproteobacteria; Hyphomicrobiales; Nitrobacteraceae
Description: RNase P RNA component class A
Rfam family: Bacterial RNase P class A
About the family: Ribonuclease P (RNase P) is a ubiquitous endoribonuclease, found in archaea, bacteria and eukarya as well as chloroplasts and mitochondria. Its best characterised activity is the generation of mature 5'-ends of tRNAs by cleaving the 5'-leader elements of precursor-tRNAs. Cellular RNase Ps are ribonucleoproteins.
Source: RNAcentral